RNAcentral lists this ribosomal RNA (404 nucleotides) under Actinomycetes bacterium. RNAcentral's name for it is "Actinobacteria bacterium partial 16S ribosomal RNA". It matches the Rfam family "Bacterial small subunit ribosomal RNA", at positions 355 to 776 of the family's 1533-position model. Lineage: Bacteria; Bacillati; Actinomycetota; Actinomycetes. The record is from RNAcentral.
UGGGGAAUAUUGGACAAUGGGCGCAAGCCUGAUCCAGCCAUGCCGCGUGAGUGAUGAAGGCCCUAGGGUUGUAAAGCUCUUUCACCGGUGAAGAUAAUGACGGUAACCGGAGAAGAAGCCCCGGCUAACUUCGUGCCAGCAGCCGCGGUAAUACGAAGGGGGCUAGCGUUGUUCGGAUUUACUGGGCGUAAAGCGCACGUAGGAGGACUUUUAAGUCAGGGGUGAAAUCCCGGGGCUCAACCCCGGAACUGCCUUUGAUACUGGAAGUCUUGAGUAUGGUAGAGGUGAGUGGAAUUCCGAGUGUAGAGGUGAAAUUCGUAGAUAUUCGGAGGAACACCAGUGGCGAAGGCGGCUCACUGGACCAUUACUGACGCUGAGGUGCGAAAGCGUGGGGAGCAAACAGG